AAAUUAACACUGCAGUUGCUUCAUCAAAUAUGUUUUACUUGUAGAAACUGUUUUGCUUGGUCUGUUUUCUUAGCUUGGCUAUGCAAUGUUUCAUCUGCAGCAUCGGCGGCACGCAUCGAGCUCAAGUUUUGUGCUUGCGGCGCAACAUGCACCAUUGAAGAGGAGUGGCCUAUUGGACGAAAUGCGCCUGCUGGCAAACGUCAGCCCCUCUGCCUCCGCUUCAGGUGCAAUGCCUAUCGUUAUUUGGUUCCCUGGAUGCGUAGAGCAUGCCUGCACUGCAGUGAAGCCGGCGACAUCGCCUCCUCGUCAGAUCAAUGGACCGACGAAGCAGGGUAUGCAGCAUACACAGCGUACAAGACCAGAUAUGGGAGGCUGCAGAGACAAAAGCAAACAUCAUCGAGAAUGUAGUUUGAAUAGAAUAUCUGCUGCCCCAGCAGUUGAUGCACUUCCACGCCAGGAACAGAGAGGAUUGUACGAGUCCAGCCUUCAGCCUUUCUCACCAACUGCCUGCACAAGAACAAACCAGGACUUGCUCUGUUUUUAUUCUGUCUGUGUUUUGCUCUGCUUUCUUUCAUUGGACCUGCCUGCAGGUGUAAUGUCCAUCUCUGCUGUUUAUUGGCUACAUCAGUGCCUAGAUCGAUUCGCUGUAUGCACAGAAAAACUAAAAGAAUUCCUUUUGUUUGCCUUCUACUGCUGUACGCGUGGCUUCCUUUUUCUUUGUAUUGUGUAUGCUGCACUGGAAAUAUUCA
Long non-coding RNA from Panicum virgatum (switchgrass), 749 nucleotides. RefSeq lists it as uncharacterized. The transcript is spliced from 2 exons. The record is from RefSeq and is a predicted model, not a curated record. Lineage: Eukaryota; Viridiplantae; Streptophyta; Magnoliopsida; Poales; Poaceae.